This 898-nucleotide long non-coding RNA is filed under the name Arabidopsis lyrata. Its description in RNAcentral is "long non-coding RNA (ALYR_LNC001865)". Lineage: Eukaryota; Viridiplantae; Streptophyta; Magnoliopsida; Brassicales; Brassicaceae. The record is from RNAcentral.
GAGAACUUAAAAACUAGAGUAUGAGAGAGUGGACAUAUGCAUGAAGAUCAUAUGGCCUCUGAUGACUUUGAUGAACAUGAUUACUAAAUUUUCUUCAGUAUACUUUGAAAGUAGAACAUGCCUAGAAGUGGACUACGAGGAAGAAACGGUGAGGACGUAGAAAAAGAUGAAGCAAAAUCUGAAAUCUAAAUCUCUCUCUACUACAACUUUGAAGAUAAAGGGCAAGAACUCCUACACGAUUAUUAGGUAAUCCAUGUCUCUGGUUUUGUCUUUAAUCUGAUCUUCUCUAAUCUCUACUACGUGAAGUUGUAGUUUAUUUGUAAGUUUUGAUUGAUCUUGUAGUUAAGAUUUUCAUAUAUUCAUUCUUUUUAAAGAUACAUUGGCGGUAAUUUUAAAAAAAUAAAGUCCACAUCUUACCUCUACUGCUUUAUGUUGUUCAGCUCUCCUCUUCUUUCCACAAUCGGAGAGGUUAAAAAGAAACAGAUUACACUUUGUUGCAUAUAUACACUGGAUCUAUAAAGUUUUGAAAUUGAGAUGCAGUGUUGAAAAAUCAGAACCAGUAAAUGAAGAUGUGGAAGAGGAAGGUCAACAAUGGAGAAAGGAGAACUUGAAAAUCAAGCAUAGUCAAAAUAUACUCUUUGAAGAAACUACAAACGAGACCUGAGCGUGAGAAGGUAGAAGAGCAAACUAGAGAUAGCAGAGCUAUGAAAUUACUAGAGAAAGAAAAUUGGCUUGAUCGAUUCUAAGUGAUAUAAAGCAAACUAAGACCGUUUAGAAAACAGUGUAACAGAGCUGAUUAAUAUGUUUAUUGUUCCCUAUAGCCUGUUCCCUAUAGCCGAUGGGUAUAACUUGUGGCUUUUUAGUUGAUAAACCAUUACUAACAAUAUAAUUUUAGUUG